This 1204-nucleotide ribosomal RNA is filed under the name metagenome. RNAcentral's name for it is "bacterial SSU rRNA". It matches the Rfam family "Archaeal small subunit ribosomal RNA", at positions 231 to 1445 of the family's 1478-position model. The record is from RNAcentral.
AGUUGGUGAGGCAAUGGCUCACCAAGCCUUUUACCGGUGCGGGCCGUGAGAGCGGGAGCCCGGGGAUGGGCACUGAGACAAGGGCCCAGGCCCCACGGGGCGCAGCAGUCGCGAAAACUUUGCAAUACACGAAAGUGUGACAGGGCUAUCCCGAGUGCCAUCCGCUGAGGAAGGCUUUUACCCAGUAUAAAUAGCUGGGAGAAUAAGGAGAGGGCAAGUCUGGUGUCAGCCGCCGCGGUAAUACCAGCUCUCCGAGUAGUGUGGACGUUUAUUGGGCCUAAAGCAUCCGUAGCUUGCUAGAUAAGUCCUCUGUUAAAUCCACCGAUUCAAUCGUUGGAUUGCGGGGGAUACUGUUUGGCUAGGGGACGGGAGAGGUCGACGGUAUUUCCGGGGUAGGGGUGAAAUCCUAUAAUCCCGGGAAGACCACCAGUGGCGAAGGCUGUCGACUAGAACGCGCCCGACGGUGAGGGAUGAAAGCUGGGGGAGCGAACCGGAUUAGAUACCCGGGUAGUCCCAGCUGUAAACGAUGCAGGCUAGGUGUUUGGGCGGCCACGAGCCGCCCUAGUGCCGCAGGGAAGCUGUUAAGCCUGCCGCCUGGGGAGUACGGCCGCAAGGCUGAAACUUAAAGGAAUUGGCGGGGGAGCACCACAAGGGGUGAAGCUUGCGGUUUAAUUGGAGCAACGCCGGAAAUCUCACCGGGAUCGACAGCAGUAUGAAGGCCAGAUUAAAGGUCUUGCUAGACGAGCUGAGAGGAGGUGCAUGGCCGUCGCCAGUUCGUGCCGUGAGGUGUCCUGUUAAGUCAGGCAACGAUCGAGACCCGCGUCCUCUGUUGCUACUGGUUCUGUGCCAGGCACACUGAGGAGACCGCCGCUGAUAAAGCGGAGGAAGGAGCGGGCCACGGCAGGUCAGUAUGCCCCGAAUAUCCCGGGCCACACGCGAGCUGCAAUGGCAGGUACAAUGGGUUCCGACCUCGUAAGGGGAAGGCAAUCUCGAAAGCCUGCCGUAGUUGGGAUCGAGGGUUGAAACUCACCCUCGUGAACAUGGAAUCCCUAGUAAUCGCGUGUCACUAGCGCGCGGUGAAUACGUCCCUGCUCCUUGCACACACCGCCCGUCGUUCCACCCGAGCGACUCCUGGGUGAGGCGUGGUCUUCCUUGGCUGCGUCGAAUCUGGGUUUCGCAAGGGGGGAAAAGUCGUAACAAGGUG